Molecule: long non-coding RNA, 11955 nt
Organism: Motacilla alba alba
Lineage: Eukaryota; Metazoa; Chordata; Aves; Passeriformes; Motacillidae
Exons: 10
Source: RefSeq, a predicted model, not a curated record
UUCUCCCCUUCCGGAGAUGCCUGGACAUCCUCAUCUUCUGAGCUAUUGGCUGAGGUCACCUUAGGGAUCCCUAUAUGUCUCAUGGCCUGGUGUAGUGAUAUUUUUCCCCACAGUCUGUGGUUGUGUUCCCUAAUCCCACCUGCAAUUUUCUCGGUUGGCAGGUGUUUGUGUGGCCAGCUGUAUUUGUAACCAUUCUUUGUGUUGAAUUAGGUAACCAGCAGAAAACUGAUCAUGAGACUGCACUGAGAGGAUGACCUUUCUCUUGGCUAUGUGCUUCCACUGGACAUCUUCAAGGAACUGAAUGCUCAGAAAACUAUCAGAACCACAACAACAAAAGCUAAGUGAUUUCAAUUUUCUUGGGGUCUAGCUUUCCCAUAUUUGCAAUCUGCAUGAAUAAUUGAGCCAGUAUAAGAGGCAGGGCAGGGACUUGCACUUUUGGCAGCUGCUCAACUCUACUUGGCUCAACCCUGAUGAGAAGCAGAAGUCACAUUUGCUAGUAGGCUCUGGCUGCCAUUUAAUAUCUGUUGGUAUGUUAGGGAUCUGACUCAUGUUUGCUUGACAAGCAGCUAAAAUGGGUUAAAGUAUGUUACUCCCUCAGGCACACAUCAGCUCUUUUGCAGCUGGGGUCAGGACGCCACGGUUUUGGCUGGCAUGCUGCAGGCACAGUAUGCUCUGCUCCUGGACAACAACCUGUGGCAGUGGGGAGGAGUGAAGGCCUAGAGGGGAAACACCUCCAGGUGUCACAGACAGAUUUGCAAAAGCUUAUCUCCCAAAACCCGCUGUGGGGUCAGGGACUUGGCAUGUCACCAAGCGGGGCGGCGAUGUGGGGCAAGUGGCCCAGGCUGUAACCACCAGGCUUGCUGUCAGCAGAUGCCUCAUGGCAGCUCCAACGGCACUGCAAGGACCCUGCACUGGCUUUAAGGCAUGCUGUUUAGCUUCUGUAUCUCAUUUUGCCCAGCAGUGUCCUGUGAAUGGAUUGUAAGCAGUGCACUGGGUCCCUUUCAGGCUCACAAUUCAAGAACAGUCUUUUUUCUUUGGUUGUCUCUUCUAUCUUCCUAUCUCUUCCCCAGCAGCCACUUCUCCAAGAAGUAAUAACUCAGAUCCUUUAGUUCCUUAUCCUAGCCAGUGCUUUGAUUAAUCUAGUAUCUCUCUAAACAUUUUCCAACAUGUUUCUAGUCUUUCCACCUUGAAUGAGCCUCACAGAAAAAUGUAAACCAUUUUUUGCUUUCAGCAGAUUAUAUCUUGUUCUUCAGCUCUUCUGUGGUUUUCUUUUCUUUCUUUACUUAUUUUUCCUUUUAAAAAUACUUACACCAUUUUACAUAAAAACUAGACUGACAUGUUGUAGGAAUUUAUAGAGUAUUUCUGUUUAUUUGUGGCACAGGUCCCAACCAAAUCCCCACUGAAUUUUCUGUUGGGUUUAGAGCAACAAUCUCUGUUUGAAAACUUAUAAUGCUCCUUACUCCAGAUAACUGCUGACACACUCCCCCUCACUGCUUCUCUUGUCACUUGUAGAUGACACAGCGUGAGACUAUUUUGCCUACCUGAGCUCUAGAGCAGCACUGUGAGUCUGGAAAGAAAAUUGAUAGUGUUGUGACUGCUGGUCAGUAUCUGCUACUGCCUGUGUCCACUUGUGAUUUGGACUCCAGCAGCCAUCAUGCUGGUUUUUAUUAGUGCUCCAGUCUGUUCUCAGCCCUGGUUCUGUUGCAAAAUACAUACAAGAAAUAUGCAAGGAACAUUUAGCUCUGUUAAAAUAGACCUGCUGUUUUACUGCUAGAUUUCUUUUUCUUCUCCACUGGCUUCCAUCUCCUUCAUCCUCUUAGUGUGGCAUGUUUGUGGGUGCAUAUAGUAGUUCAUUGCAAAAUAUACUAGAUUUAAAAGCAAAACAGAAAAAACCUCCCUGACCGAAAUUGCUUCUUUAAAGCUGCAGCAUUAAGUUUGGCCAUGAUCCACCCUGGAGACUUUCCCUGGCAGAGACUGUGAUGCACACAUCUCAGUUUGGAAUUGCUCUUUCGGACACAGAUUCCUGUAAGGAUAACAGGAACAUGAUAGGCCCUGUCAUGCUAGGCAGCAAAGCCCACUGCAGUCCAGUGAAGACAAGCUGUCCACUCACCUCUUAUGGACUUUUCCGGGGCUGCCUGCAUGUAUGGGGGUGGGGAAGGGAAGGGGACAAGAGGACAGAAAUAUAGCUGGGGUUUUAAAUCCUUCUGUUUCUGAAGGAUUCAAGUCAUGUAUAUGAAAGAGUUCAAGCUUCCACUGUGGAAAAUGGUUAUCAUUCACAUGUUCUUUAUGCUGUGCUUCAUGAAAAACUUGCUUCAUUGUUGGACUGUGUUGAGCUCUUACUGGAAAAAUUCCUGAUCUUCAUUUUCUGGCCUGAUCCAGCUGACUUCUAAGCUAAAAGAGAUUUGUUAGAUUUAGUAGCCCCAAGUGACCAGUAAUUCAUAUAAUACAUGGUGCGUUGGCUGCCUCCAUCUCAUGGGAUUGUGUCUGCUCUCUUGCUGGCAAUCUGCAACUUUUCAUGAAGACUUGAAUGAGUCCCUCGGGGAUUGGACCUUUCUGCAAAUAUAUAUUUGUGUUGGAUGAACAUGGCAGGGAAGAUUAUGAGUCCACUGCAAUGAGCAGGCACCAUUCCUGCAAAGACUCAUCAUUCUUUACUCUGCUCUUGCCUGUUGUCGCCAGAAAUUAAAUACACAGGUGAUGACCAUGACCCUGGAAAAAGCCUAGAGAAAACAACCUCUUUACGAGACAUACCUUGCAAUAGGUGUUUGUUUAACUGGAAAUCCGCAAGAGCAGCUGCCCAGUGCAACGGUACAUAUUUGCUUCUGAAGCCUUUCUCAAAGACACUAUUUAAACAUGCUGAUGAACUGAGCUGGAUUUUUCCCCACCUCCAUUCCAGCAAAAUAAGGAAACUCAGAAGAUAAAAAUUUGAUUUGUUAUUGCAAGUUGUGCUAUGUGAACUGUUUCUGCAACCUUUCUAUCUCCAAAACCAAAGGAAUCGUCAAUGACCAUAGCUGAGGUGGCGUCACUCAUCUUCUCCUCCACCUCUGGCCAAUGGUAUAAAUUGUCAGAAAGGACUUGACCCAAUGUCCCUCCUACUUCUGUGGGCAGCAUUUAUGCAUGAGACAAACUUCACUCUGGCAUGGAGAAAGAUCUGAUCUGAAGGUCAGAGUUAACAGGAGAAGAAAUACUGAGCCAUGGGGAAUGUGCAUUGGCAUUUACAGUUCCUUCUGCAGAUACAUCCUGUGUGAAAUGCAGUUGUCCUCUUGCUCUGCUCAUGCUGUGAGUCCAGCAGGAUCUGUGUGGCCCAAGCUAAUAGACUGUCAAUCUUGACCAUGAGUUGCACCUACGCAUCUUUCAUUUCGUUCAAAACAUAUGAAGGAAAAGAGAGACUGCUACCCUUCAAAAAAUGGUGUCUCAGACCUUCUUGGGCAAUGAAGAGCUACAGAGACCACAUCACCUUGCUCUGGAAAAGCAUAGCUAGGAUUUGAGAAUGUCUGGCACAGAAGAAAAAACAAAAAAAAAAGACAAUAGCUCUAACUAACAUAAGAAGUUGUCAGUGUAGUCCUGAAUCUGAUUUCAAGGCCCUGCUGAAUCUGGGAUCAACAAUUGCUCUGCCUAUGAUUCGUACAGGUUCAACUAGGCAAACAAGCAAACAAAGAGGUAAGAUUUAUGCUCUUGUGGAACAGCUACUCCGGCAGAUGGGAAGAAGGUGAAGCAAGUCAGGAUGACAGGGGAGGUCAGAAAUCACUGGUUUUAUCCAAAUGAGGUAAGGUGCUCAACAUAAAACAGCAGCUAUCAUCAUUGGGUUUUUUUGCAUUUGCGUGUUCCACACUGGGCAGAGAAACAGAAGGUUGGCUAAUGUUUGCUUAUGAUAAGUCUUUGGUGUAUCUAGGUUUUCAACUUUUUUUUCCUGCUGUUCCAGAGGUUCAUGAACUUAUCUGUUUAAAGACUCAGUGGAAUGCUGAAAAACUUGAUCCUUUCUUUGGGGACAGGUUUCCUAAUAUAUAGUUUAGCUAUCAAGUUUUGCUCUGUAAAUGACAAUUUACUCUUGGAAGGAGGCCUACUGACUUUGCUUUCCAACAGGCCAGUAUGAUGAAGAAAUGAAUGAUUUCAUUCUCUGUCAUAAUUAUUUAGGACUGCAAAGUGUUUUUUUAUUUGUGUUUCUAUUUGUUGUCACUGUGUCUUUAAAAUGCAUUUUUUUUCUUACUCAUGAUUUCCCCUCUGGAGUUAGGGAAUCUCAAAAGUUCUGAAAGCAGAACAUUAAUCUGAAUUUUUUUUUUUUACUCUUUGUUCUGCUUUUGAAACAAAGUUCUAGUUUAUUUUGUAUUAGAGUAUAUCAAAAGAUCCCUGAAAGUAGAACUAUGGUACCUGAAAGGAAUAAGCUGAAUUUCAGAAAGAAAACUUUCUGCACACUUUAUAAAGUCUUUUGUUUUCUGUUUUUCAUAAAUAAUUCCUAAAUUCAAUUGAAAUAACUGAAAAAGUUCAGAGUUUUUAAUUUGCCUCAUUUCAAAGGUUUAAAAAUACUAGUGCAUUUUUAGCUAGUUCUUAAUAAAGUCUAAAUCUGCAGUUUGGUUUUGCCUUAGCUGAAAGAUUGGUGCCCCUGAUAAUGCAGCAUUGCCAGCCUAAUCUGCACAGCUGCGAUGGUUUCCAGAUGAAGGACAUUCACAUUUAUAAAUAAUUUUAAAUUAAGAAACCAAAUUAGUUGCCUGUCAUGGUUACUUAAGGUAGGAUGGAACAUAUUGUCACAUUACAUUUCACACUUCACAUUUGUGCUGAGACAAAUUUCUAAUUUUGAAGAAAAUACUUACAAGAAGCAAGUCAUCAAGUUUUUCAAGUCAUGGGCAUUGCAAAGAAGGAUAAAUUAACAAGAGAUUAAUUCAAGAUGUCAUGAAAACAUGAAUGAUCAAUAGGUAAUGAUUGUUUUAGAACAGAAUUUAUAAAUAAAUAUGAUAUAUGAAGCAUGUAAAGCAGAAUGUUGUCAUAUUGAUAGGAGGUGAGGAUUGGAGCAGAAGUUACAGAACACAAAGCUAAGACAAUUUUCACAGUGAUUUUCUGACAUAGUCUGUGAUUUCUUUCUCUCUUUCCCAUCAUGAUAGUGCUUUGGAUUUUCUUUCUCCUCUCCUCCGAAUGAGUCUUGUGACAUAGUGUUGCUUUUCAACUUUAGCCUUCCUAACAAUACUUAGACAAUCUGGAGCCUUUUCCUUUGGAAAAGGAAAGAGAAAUAGACAAAAAUAAUGUCUAGAAAUAGACAGAAAUAGACGCUAUCUAUAAAAUCUAUAAAUAUGUCUGAAAAGUGCUUAACAUUUUGUAGUUUUAGUUAUGAUAAUCCAACAACUUUAUUUUCCUCAUUCAUUAAAAUUACAAAUACUAGGUUUCCUUUGGCAUGGAAAUCGGAAAGAUUUUGGCAGGUCAAAGGAAGCAGUUGUUGAACCAUAUGCAGUCAUUUGGCUGAUCUCCUCUUAGUCUUACAACCCAAUAAAACGUCAUGGAUUUACCUGUUUUGUAAGAGAUCGUAUGUGCCAUUUUUGAGACUGUGUAACUAUUUGUUCUAAGCUAGUAUUUCACCCACUGGUUGAAGUGUUUUCUUUCUCUCAUCUGACAUGGAUGAGCACCAAACAAAUUUAGCUUGAAUAUUCUGCCAAAUAAUUAUUUACGUUAAAUCAUGUUGCUGAAAAUUUUGCUUUGGAGUAUCAGUACAGACUUGUGAAUAUCAUGGUGCCGUGAUACUGUGACUCUCCAUCUUUUUGCUUUUGUGUGACAACAGAAUUUUUCACCAGCCUGGGAUAUUGACCAUGACUCCUACAGUUUUAUAGGGCAAAAGUGCAACACUGAGGUCACGCAGCUAUUAUUUCUAACAAUCCAUUUGAUACCAGCUGUGAAAAACGUCUUUGAUUUUCACCUGAUCAGCUUAGAGAAAAAAAGGUAAUGCAGAACUAAAAUUGUAGGGCACUAAUAAAACCAUAGAUGCUGAACAAAUAAUGGAAACAUCUUGAGAAAUUGAUUAGGUGUACAAGGAAUGAAGAAGCUUUAUAACUGGAAACAGUAAACAUUCCCAAAAAGAGUUUAGUACAGGGAAUGAAUUUUGCAUAAAUUGGGCCAAACAUUUAAAAUUCUUUUUACCAGCACAAGUGAAUGAUAAUGAAUUUUCUUUCUAAUAAUGGUUUGGAAAAGUGAAAGUGGACAAUAUGAAAGACUUUGGAUUAAUUUCUCUGCCAAGACUGGGCACUCCAUCAGAAAAAUUCAAAACAUCCCUCCAAAAUAUUGAAUGGUAGAAGUGCACUUUGUUCUUAGGAGUCCAGUAGAAAUUUUAGCAUUAAGAUACAUGUGUGUUUGGGCAUAAAUCCUGGGAUUAAAACAGAGUAGGCUUGUGGCUGUAGGCUUGGCGGAAUUACAGGCUCAACCUUAUCUCCAUGUAUUGAUAUAACCUACAUGACCAAAAUGAACUUGGUACUGAAACAUAUGUAAAAACAUAUUACUAACACCUAACUUUCCCAGCUCUUUCAGUCCAAGAAGCUUACAGUGCACCUGCUAAAGAUACAUAGACAUUUGCUUUCUUGUAUUUGAAAUGCCAAGGGUCCUUUCUAGUCAGUGAAUAUGACCCUUCCGUAUGUUUCAGACAUUGAUUUUUUUAAAAUUUUGACCAACAAUUUAAAAUAUUUUUCCUAAUUCUGUGCUUUUUAGACAUAGUUUUUAGCAUUCUCAGCAUCCAUACUGAAAAUAAGUGAGACCUUGCUUUGUAUCUGUGGACUUAAUUUUGAGAUGCAGCUCUGAAAUAGUGUUUAAAGGGUAAGUAUGACACAACUGGAAAGCAUCUGUGAAAACAGAAAUGAAUUGACAGUCUUGUUGGUACAUGAUGAGAUACGGCCUAAUGACUUGGUUUCACAUAAGAAUUUUUCAUGCAUGGCCAGUUUUAGAAACCUUAGCUGACACACAGCUUCCUUCUUGAAGGCUCACUCGAAACAGAUAUGAUCACUUAAGGCCAUUCAGUGUGAAUAAAUGUUUCAAAGUUUAAGCUCUGAGUUGUGAAAAUAGGGGGGGGGUGUGGAAGGAUAAAAUAAAUCUAUUGGUGGAAACUGUGGCUGAGUUAGUGUGGUCAAAAGAAGAAGGCUAUUUUCUGUUAGGGUUUUCAAGAGCAGCACUGCUACAGAAAAUGUAGCUGAAGAUCCCUUCACUUUUCAUUAUUUUUGGCAUAAAUAGGCAAUUUAGACAUGAAAUUUGCUUUUCCAUUCAAAUUUUAAGAAGAACCCUUUCUAUGUAUUAUUUUCAACUGCUGUUCCUCCCCUUACCUUCCAAACAGCUAUUUUUUUGCACUGUGGUGUCAAAGAGACAAGUAGAAAAGAACCCAACUCUGAAUAUUGUAAAAAAGCAUUACUCUCAUAGUUGAAAAUUAGCAUUUGGAUUUCAUUCUUCCUCACAUGAUUGGUGAGAGUGAGGAGAGUGAAUAACAGUCAUUAUGGUUAAGCAUGUUUUCUGUCACUUUAAUGCAGGUAUUUCCCAAAUCUGAGUAAUGAGUCAGUCUCUCCCUGCUUGUCUACUCUCAUUUGACCCAACUGGAGUGUGAGAUGACUCAGAAGCCACACUGGUUUCAGAGUAUUAAUAUAACUUAAACACAAGGAAGUAGAAUUUAAUUCAUGCAGUCAGGCAAGAAAAGUGUUUCUGCACUUUUUGUAGGAAAGACAUGAGGUAUAAGAUUAUAUAGGUAUAUCCUGCAUCCUGAAUGGCUGGACUUGCUGUAUCCUUGGUUUUACUGGAAUUAUCAUCACACAAUAUUUUGAUGAGGAAAUGGCUGCUGCUUCUCACUGAGAGCUGCUGCUCUGCUCUGUUUCUUCAGACAUCCCUGAAUCAAUUAAAAGAGACCAUCUUAGAUCAUCUUGGCCUUGCCUCGUCCUCUACCUGGUUCCCAGUUUGGAGGAGUGUAAGACUGGGGACCAGAGUUUAGUACACAUGAGGCCCUUACACUGAACAUCAUGGUGCCAGAGCACUUGGAAUCACUGAGAAUUGCUGAACCACAUUCUAACUAAGCUUGUUCAUCAUUGUUGCUACCUUGCUACCCUUGUGGUAUUGUGGCACUACAGGAAGAAAAAGUUCUUCAACUGUACCCAUGGUAACAAAAUGGGGUGUAUUUUCUCUAUGGUUUGAAUCAGCAUUUUCUGUAUGAAAUCCUGUUUUUCUGCUGUGUCCUGCAAAGAUUUCAAGGAGAUGAUGAAAAUGUAAGAGCAGAACUGUGUCCCUGUAUAAUAGCCUUAUUCCAGCCCUUGUCCCUCUAGUCUUUUUUCAGUUCAUAUGGUAAAGCUACAAGUGAAGAACAGGAAGAUUUGUCAUUCUGACCUAGGAGAUACAUAUGACUUUUUAGAAGAUCUAACCAAGUAAACACUGUGUUGUUAACUGGGACUGUGAUCUUGAGCCUAAAAUUCCACGGAGGAGUCAGAAGAUUUCCAAAAUAAUAAUGGUGAUGCUCUUGAAAUGAUGGCUCACACCACUGAAAUGGAGUGGGAAGAAGUAGGUGAAUGAAUUCUCUUUCAUAUUUUCUUAACCUAGAGUUUUUACUGAUCAGAUUUUGAUCCAUAUUUUCUGGCAAAGAUAUAUCAACUACUUCCUCUUUACUACAGCGCUGCUGAUCUCAUCCUGGGUGAUGAAUAGCUGCUCUACUUCUUCCUUCUCCGUGAUUGAAAUGUAAAACUUUACACAGAAAAUUCCUUUCUCCACGGAAUGCUUUACCAAACUCAGCAGGAAAUGCAGAUAGUAACACUGUAGUUAUCAAAGUAGUGCAAUGCACUGACUAUAGGAUGUAUUUUAAAUGUGAUCAGAUUUUUUUCCCCAUUUUCUGAGGGGGGGUUUCCUGAAUACAGUAGGAGAAUUUCCAGGUCUAAAAUGAAUAGGAAAAAAAUGGGAACAGGGACAAUUUCUCUCUUCAAACUAAUUUCAAUGCAUUAAACAGACUUUCACUAUGAAAGGGACUACUAUACAGCCCAAAGUUCAAACAAUUGAGUUCUUUCAUUCAAAUGAUGCUCUGUAUCACGCUGAAAUCAUUACAGAGCUUGGCCACUGCAAGUCACAUCCUUAAUGGGUGGCAAGGAUAACCACAUUAAACAGGGAUGUUUUCUCUAGACUUAUUUGUCUCGCUCCAGACUUCCUAACUUCUUAAAAAUCUUAUUAAACACUAGAUUUAAUGUACUUAACCUAAUUGCUCUCUCCACAACAUUAAAGAAUGUCUGUUACAGAUAAAAGAGAACAUAUUAACUUUUCUCAUAUUUUCCCACUUUUUCUACUAUGAUUUUUUUCUAGCUUCUUAAUUGAAAGAAAUCCCUUAUUUUGAAUUCUGUUGCAAUUUUAAAGAAAAGGAUCUGAAAUAUAUAUUUCAUUCCAUGUGAUAUGCAACUCUAACAUCUUAAUUUCAAAACACAUUCACCAUUUCUAUUUUAAUAUGAAAGUAAGUCAUGUAUUAGCAUGAUUGUCUGUUAUGUCUUGAAGAAUCCCUUAUUCUUAAUCCUGUAUCUGAAUUAGCUUUGAUGUCUGAACUUCUUUAAUAAUUAAACAAUAUCAUCAAGUAAUUUUUGCAAAUAGUUGCUGCAGCUGGGCAUAGGGCAAACUGGAUAUUGUGGUGUGCUUUUUUUAGUAAAAUUUAUUUGUGCUAGUCUGCCUGGCAAGGAGUGAAGGAGAUCAGGCUCUGGUCUGUUUUGUGAUGUAGGUGAGAGCUUUUCCAAAGUUCACCAACAGGUAGCUUGGGAGCCUGGAGAUCUCCUGCUGCAGAGCCAGGAGUGAGAAAAUCCUUGGUGGCCAGGGGGUGAGCACUCCAGUGAGAUGUAAUUCAACAGAGGUAAGCCUAGUAGAUGACAAAGGCCUAAUUAAGACCAGUGCCUGCAAACUGGAGACAGGGAAAUUAAUGUUGGGAUUAUAGCAUCAUAAGAUCACAGGAUAAUUCAGAAUGGAAGAGUGCUCAGAAGUCACCAGUCCAACCUCCUACUGAGAGCAGCAUCACUUCUGAUCUCAGACCAGUUGCUCAGGGUUUUAUCCAGUCAGGUCUGGAUGGAAAGCACAGCUUCCCCAGGGAACUUGCUCGAAUUCUGAUCUGGUAUGGAAAAGUUGUUUCCUGUACCCAGUAAGAACUUUAAAGACAGAGACACAUUUAUAUUGUUGUGUACUAUUGGGAUAGAUCUGCCACAGGAAUUGGGGAAUUCCACGGUUAUUGUUACCUUUAUGACUGGAUAAUUUUCUGGGAAACUUGUCUUUUAUCAAAGGUAAGAUGAUAUUUUCUGUAUAUACAGCUGUUCCUUGUGGCUUUAAUGUAACAAAUACAUGAAGACAUCACCUAGCUGGAAGAGUUGAAUGAGGCACUUUAGACAAUAAAGAAAUUGUUGACUUUUUAAAAUAGGAAUUUUGAAUCUUUUCUAAUCUAUGUUGUUAAAAUGAUAGGAAAAGAAUUUACAGGAAGUGAAAAUUUGGUUAAAGGAAUAGUUGCACUUUCUAAUCUUUCAUUGCAUUUUGAACUUCAAUGCUUCUGAGACAUUCCUAUGGCAUUUAAUUAUCAAGUGACUUGGGAAAGAACAAAAAUAUUCUCAGAAACUUGUGAAUAACCUAGUUAAGACUUGUGCAAAGCCAUUAAAAAUCUGCUUAUUUGUAAAAAUAAAACAAAACAAAACAAAAGCAUCAGACUGCUGUCUUUCAUGUGAUAGAAAGACACAGCAUAUAUGGUUUUCUGUCUGAAUCACCACCACCCCAACCCCUGUAAUGCUUCAAAAGCUUUAUUUGCUGAGUGAUAACAUUUACUGAUAUUUUGAUUAUCAAGCAAAUGGUACAUGCUGAGAUUAGGGACACAGAGGUAGUUUUGAGGCUCUUCUGACAUUCUCCUUUGCUGUUGGUGUCAUAAUAAUGUGUAGCAGGUGGCUGCAUGGUCAGAGAAAGGGCCUAUUGCUGGGACACAUCAUUGUUAUAUUGAUGCAUUUUUGUACUACUUCUUACCCUCAGGUUUCUGAGAAUUUCCAUCUUAAAUGAGAAAAAGCAGCAGGAUCAAAUUCAAUGCAGAUGCUACCAGUACAUUCUAUAUCAACCCCCAUACCAGGAAUGCAAUAGCACAUGAUGGACUGAACUCAGUUUCACACUAUACAUUUAAUGGUGGGCAAUUAAAGCAUGCAAACUUUGGAUUAUCCAAACUAGAAAUGGUUAAUCUCUGUUUAGCUUUGGACUGUGCAACUUACUCAGCAGAUACAUGCCAACAUUGUUUAUUUAUCUAAAGAUAUUUAUCUAAUUUAGCUGUCAUAUACAUUCAAGACCUAGGGUAUAAUCGUGGUCUGCUUCCCCAAAGGGGAUGGUAGCAUCCUGUUCUCAUUUUUGGGUGCUAGAGAGUUACACUCUCAUAGUCUGCCUAAAAUGCAGGUGCUGCCUAAUUAUAUUGCACAAAGAGAUUGACUUCAGUGAAAAUUUAGAAAAAGGAGUAGUCUUGUGCAAUGCCUACACACUUCUAAGAAGGCUUUGUGAGGAAGAAAAAAAAAAAAAGAAAAGAGAAGCUUGAAUCUGAAUCCUAUCCAAGUAUUUUCCUUGUUAAAGAGCUGAAUGAAUCCUAGUGUGGAGAUAAAAAUACAGAUAAAGGGGGAAAAAUUGUUUGUGGUACAAUGGCGAGAUAAGGUUCCAUUUAGCCUGUGCUUGUGUGGGCACCUACAACUUGGCUGCUGUUCUGGUAGUGUUUCCAACACUGGGAGUCUACACAGCCCUUCUUCCCACGGCCAUGUUCCUUGCUCUGCUGCCUCUGGGGUCCCAACAAUUUCUUCCUACUUCUGUUGUCCACCAAGAGUUGUGCAAUACCUGCCAUAUGGUGUAUCAAAUAUGACCACACACAUAAAAAUGGGAUUGGGAGCAAAAGUGAACAAAACUGUGAGAACUUUGGUGGUUUUGAGUGAAGGCUUUGCAGUAAAUAAAUUUCAGUAUGAGACAUGAAAAUUACUGUUUUAACUAAUUUCUUCA